AUUAGAAUGGCAGAUCAGUGCAUAGGAUUUAAGCUUCUAUUAGGUAAUAUUUAAAUAUUUCUUCUAAUA
This 69-nucleotide transfer RNA is filed under the name Inioteuthis japonica. Its description in RNAcentral is "tRNA-Leu". Lineage: Eukaryota; Metazoa; Mollusca; Cephalopoda; Sepiida; Sepiolidae. The record is from RNAcentral.